AUGGACCACGCGGCGGAGGCGCAGCGGACGGACCUGAUGACGAUCACGCGGCACGCGCUGAACGAGCAGGGCCGGCACCCGGAGUCCCGGGGCGACUUCACCAUCCUCCUCUCCCACAUCGUCCUCGGCUGCAAGUUCGUCGCCUCCGCCGUCAACAAGGCCGGCCUCGCCAAGCUCAUCGGCCUCGCCGGGGAGACCAACGUCCAGGGCGAGGAGCAGAAGAAGCUGGACGUGCUCUCCAACGAGGUCUUUGUCAAGGCGCUUGUCAGCAGCGGCCGCACUUGUGUCCUCGUGUCUGAAGAGAACGAGGCGGCCAUCUUCGUCGACGCGCCCCUCCGCGGAAAGUACUGCGUGUGCUUCGAUCCCUUGGACGGCUCCUCCAACAUCGACUGCGGCGUCUCCAUCGGGACGAUCUUCGGGAUCUACAUGAUCAAAGACAAGGACAACGCGACCCUGGAGGACGUGCUGCAACCCGGGACCGACAUGAUCGCCGCUGGCUACUGCAUGUACGGGAGCUCAUGCACGCUUGUCCUAAGCACUGGAAACGGUGUAAAUGGCUUCACCCUUGAUCCUUCCCUCGGGGAGUUCAUACUUACCCAUCCCAACAUAAAGAUACCAAACAAAGGGAAGAUCUACUCGGUCAAUGAAGGGAACGCCAGAAACUGGGACGCGCCCACUGCAAAGUACGCAGAGAGAUGCAAGUUUCCCCAAGACGGCUCAUCGCCAAAAUCCCUGAGAUAUAUCGGAAGCAUGGUUGCGGAUGUUCAUCGUACCCUGCUCUACGGAGGCAUAUUUCUGUACCCCGCCGACAAGAAGAGCCCCAGCGGAAAGGUUCGUGUUCUGUACGAGGAUUUCCCCAUGUCGUUCCUGAUGGAGCAAGCCGGAGGCCAGUCUUUCACCGGCAAACAGCGGGCCCUUGAAAUUGUUCCUUCUGAGAUACACCAGAGGUCUCCGAUAUUCCUCGGGAGCUACGAUGAUGUGGAGGAGAUUAAAUCAUUGUAUGCUUCGGAGUCGAGCACCGCCUGA
This 1026-nucleotide ribosomal RNA is filed under the name Triticum aestivum (bread wheat). RNAcentral's name for it is "partial small subunit ribosomal RNA". Lineage: Eukaryota; Viridiplantae; Streptophyta; Magnoliopsida; Poales; Poaceae. The record is from RNAcentral.